GCCACAUUCGCUGUGGGUGGAGAAGAUAAGGACGUUAAAAGGAGAGACAGUAACAACUUUUCAAACGUGAUACAAAAGGAAACACAACUAACCACCAAAGACAAACUCUCUGUCCCUCGUUUUGUCAGACCUCAGCGUUUCUCAAUACAUGGCGGAUCAAACCCAGAACCCACAAAUCUUUGAGCUCAACAAUGGAAGCAUGCUAGUCAAGAUCACCAACCUCGGUUGCAGUAUUACUUCCUUGUCCGUACCUGACAGAAAUGGGAAUUUAGCUGAUGUUGUUCUUGGAUUCGACUCUGUUGAGCCAUAUCUGAAAGGUGCUGCACCUUAUUUUGGGGCCAUUGUUGGCCGAGUGGCAAACAGGAUUAAAAAUGGAAAGUUUACUCUCAAUGGGGUCGAGUACACUUUGCCCAUUAACAAGCCUCCAAACAGUCUUCAUGGUGGGCACAAGGGUUUUGAUAAGGUGAUAUGGGAGGUAGCAGAAUAUAAGAAGGGUGAAAACUCAUCAAUUACCUUCAAGUAUCAAAGUCAUGAUGGAGAGGAAGGUUACCCUGGGGAUCUUUCUGCAACUGCAACUUACACUCUUACUUCAAGCACGACAAUGAGGCUCGACAUGGAAGCAGUGCCCAAGGAUAAAGCAACUCCAGUCAGCUUAGCGCAGCAUACCUAUUGGAACUUAGCUGGCCACAACUCUGGGAACAUACUAGACCAUUCAAUUCAAAUAUGGGGAUCUCAUGUUACACCUGUAGAUGAGAACACUGUACCAACUGGUGAAAUCAUGCCAGUUAAAGGCACACCUUUUGACUUCUCCUCUGAGAAGAGAGUUGGUGCUUCAAUCCAUGAAGUUGGUUUAGGCUAUGAUCACAACUACGUGGUUGACUGCGGGGAAGAGAAAUCAGGUUUGAAACGUGCUGCAAAACUUAAAGAUCCAUCAAGCUCAAGGGUGCUUAACUUGUGGACCAAUGCUCCUGGGAUGCAGUUUUACACUGGAAACUAUGUGAAUGGAGUUGUUGGUAAAGGAGGUGCUGUUUAUGGAAAGCAUUCAGGUCUGUGUUUGGAGACACAAGGAUUCCCUAAUGCCAUAAACCAAUCAAACUUCCCUUCAGUGGUCGUUCAACCUGGUGAGACGUAUAAGCACACCAUGUUGUUUGAGUUUUCAGUUGAGUGAAUUAGUAGUAUUGACUAUUGAGUGGCUGUGAGAAUGAAGCUUGGUUCUGGUUUUGCAGAAUUGCAAACGAGAACUUAUGGUCAUUUUACAUUUGAUACCACAUUUACAUCCUUAACGCAUUUUGCAUGCCAAUGCUCAAUGGCUUGAAGUAUGAACAAGCACAAACUUAAUUUACCUUGUGUCAAAAUAUUUAAUUAAUAAAUGAGGUAAG
RNAcentral lists this unclassified non-coding RNA (1379 nucleotides) under Hevea brasiliensis (rubber tree). Lineage: Eukaryota; Viridiplantae; Streptophyta; Magnoliopsida; Malpighiales; Euphorbiaceae. The record is from RNAcentral.